UUUUCUGCCCUCCGUCCUGCCCCGUCCAUGAUGCUCUGCGGCCUCUGGAAGGGGGUGCCAUCGGCCCAGGGUUCCUGGUUUUAUGUUGCCAUGUGACUUUCUUCCUUUCCUUCUUAAGGAUGACAGGUGUUGAACAAAUAUUUAUUGAGUUCCUUCUAGUGCCAGACACACUGAGGAACAAGCACUGUGCCAAUUAGACGCUUGGCGACAAACAGUAGAAACAAAUUCUGAAUAACCUAAGCAAAAAAAAAAAAAAAGAAAAGAAAAAGCGGUGUUAAGCAGCUCGUAGAGGAGACUAGAGGUGGGAAAGGGGGUGGGGACGGAGGCAGAGCAUGUGUGGGCAAAGUCACGAAGGGGGAGAGUGACCGAGGGCCACCACGGCCACCACAGCUCCUCCAGCCUGCUGGUGCCCCACUGCGUCCGGCUGCCACUCAUUCUGCGCCACCAGGUCAGGAAUCCUAGUUCAAGCAAAACCUCCUGACUGGGCAAGGGCAGGGCUCGGCCCCCUGAAAGCUGCCAGGACCUGGGAUUUGGGUAGAAGCGGGCCAGAGCUUCAGCAGAGCAGGCAUCUUCUGGACGAGGAGCCAGGCUCUCCGCCCGCCACCCUUGAUUGGAGAAAAGAGGCCCUGAUGUCAUCCCCAGCAUCAGCCAUCUGCCUGCCACCAGCACGGGAGGCGUCUCAGCAGCCCCCUCCCAGGGUAAGUGACAGAAGACCCUUGAGUGUGGCCUUGAAAUCUCAAGGUUAUUUAUAACUUGAUAACUGAACCAGGGCUGGGUGUGGUGAAAAGUGGUCUCCUCCCAAGACGCCCAGGGCAGCAUCUCUAAGUCUGUGGGGGUGCUCAUGAGACUGGCCAUGCGGCAGGCUUUUCUCUGUGAAGAUGAAGCUGGUUGCGCAUUAUUGCUGGGUGUGUAUUAUUCCCUUUAGGGCGAGGGUGUUGUCUUAUAUGUGAGGAUAUGUGUCUCCAAAAAUCCAGUGCUUACUUCUAGACAUAAUCAAAAUUACCCAUCCAUCCAUCCACCCAUCUUUUAUUUUUUUUUAAUUUUUUUUUAUUUUUUAUUUUUUUUGUCUUUUGUCUUUUUUGUUGUUGUUGUUGUUGCUGUUGUUAUUGUUGCUAUUUCUUGGGCCGCUCCCGCGGCACAUGGAGGUUCCCAGGCUAGGGGUCGAAUCGGAGCUGUAGCCCCCAGCCUAUGCCAGAGCCACAGCAACGCAGGAUCCGAGCCGCGUCUGCAACCUACACCACGGCUCACGGCAACGCCGGAUCGUUAACCCACUGAGCAAGGCCAGGGAUCGAAUCCGCAACCUCAUGGUUCCUAGUCGGAUUCGUUAACCACUGCGCCACGACGGGAACUCCCCACCCAUCUUUUAAAGUCUAUUUAAAAAAACACCCAAACACAAUAACUCUUCAGUGUGCAGCAAAAUAGAUUCUGUAAGUGAUAGAGAGGAACCAACCCCUCCAGUCACUAACAUGUUGCUAAAUUUUUAGUAUUUAUUAUUGUGCUGUAACUUGAUUUGGGUUUUAGAAGUAGCGGUUUUUGUUUUGUUUUGUUUUGUUUUGUUUUUUUGUUUUUUUUUUUUGGUAGGGCCACACCUGUAGCAUAUGGAAGUUCCCAGGCUAGGGGUCCAAUCAGAACUGCAGCUGCUGGUCUACACCACAGCCACAGCAAUGAUAGAUUUGAGCCUCGUCUGCACCCUACCCUGCAGCUCACGGUAAUGCCAGAUCCUUAACCUACUGAGUGAGGCCAGGGAUCGAA
Molecule: long non-coding RNA, 1752 nt
Filed under: Sus scrofa (pig)
Lineage: Eukaryota; Metazoa; Chordata; Mammalia; Artiodactyla; Suidae
Description: lncRNA (ENSSSCG00055022803.1)
Source: RNAcentral